RNAcentral lists this long non-coding RNA (1316 nucleotides) under Homo sapiens (human). RNAcentral's name for it is "HSALNT0371511". Lineage: Eukaryota; Metazoa; Chordata; Mammalia; Primates; Hominidae. The record is from RNAcentral.
AAUACAGCAGGCAGAAGAAGUUGGAAGGACUUGACUUGCUGAGUCUUCCAGCCUUCAUCUUUCUCCUCUGCUGGAUGCUUCCUGCCCUUGAACAUCAGACUCCAACUUCUUCAGCUUUUGGACUCUUGAACUUAACACCCGUGGUUUGCCAGGGGCUCUCGGGCCUUUGGCCGCAGACUGAAGGCUGCACUGUCGGCUUCCCAGUUUUUGAGGUUUUGGGACUUGGACUGGCUUCCUGGCUUCUCAGCUUGCAGACGGCCUAUGGUGGGACUUCACCUUGUGAUCGUCUACCUUGAUGCUGAACAUCCCCUGAAGCAACAGGACUGCAUGAGCUUGGUGUGGCUGAGCCCAUGUCCUAAUGAACAUCCAGAAAAGAAAGACACUCAGAAAGCCAGGAAAAUGGAAGAAUUUUUUUUUUCAGCCAGCCAGGCACCUGACAGUAAUCAAAAUCUGUAAAGAACAGGAUGUGGAGCCUCCUCUGCUUGUUCAGCACGAACAUUUUGUGGUGGGUGCUGCAAAGAUGACUCAGACACAGUCUCCACCCCAGGGUGUACCCAAAGCAACCAAUGGAACAAAGAAUUGGACAAAACGCACAAACAAAGCAAGAAGGAAUGAAGGGUUUUAUUGAAAAUGAAAGUACACUCCACAGUGUGGGAGUGGGCCUGAGCAGAGGGGCUCAAAGGCCCCAUUGUAGAAUUUUGGGGAGUUUAAAUAUCCCCAAGAACCUGAACAACCUCUGCCGUUAACAUAUUUUGGUGACCCGGGAAGGAGGAAGAGGCCUGAAAGAUAAGACAAAGAGGUUCCUACAACCUGGAGACCGAGAAGGCUGCCAGGCAGGAGCUGUGAUUGCAGCUGAAAGAUGCAGCCGGUCUUUAGCAACUCCACAUGGAGGAAGCCAGGAAAAUAAAUACUCCAAUCAAUCACAAUUUCUUUUUCUGCUAUGUCUUGCCCAUGCUCUGAAUUUUUCAAAAUCGACUGGAAGCUAGAAAGCAAAGGAGAACUUUGGUGAGUCUACUCUGAAUAUGGGACACAGAGCAAUGGGGAGAAAGGUUAUCAGGAGACACCCAGUUCAGGCACCUACCUCUUCCACAAUAACAACUUCUGUUUCACUCAGCAUUACUUUGUGCCCAGCUGAGAAAGGACUGCAUUCUCCAUUCUCUUACAUUUGCGUGACUGUGAUGUGGAACUGGAACUAACAAAAAGGAAGAACAUCAGAGGAGGUGCAAGAAGCAAGAGAGGGAAAGCACCGUGGUGGAACAGUGGCUGAUAGUUUUCUGGUAGAGUGCUAGAAAAACAUUUAAUAAUGAGCAUGUUCC